RNAcentral lists this ribosomal RNA (168 nucleotides) under uncultured bacterium. Its description in RNAcentral is "partial 16S ribosomal RNA". It matches the Rfam family "Bacterial small subunit ribosomal RNA", at positions 339 to 524 of the family's 1533-position model. The record is from RNAcentral.
CUACGGGAGGCAGCAGUGGGGAAUAUUGCGCAAUGGGGGAAACCCUGACGCAGCAACGCCGCGUGGAUGAAGAAGGCCUUCGGGUUGUAAAGCUCUGUCUUCUGGGACGAUAAUGACGGUACCAGAGGAGGAAGCCACGGCUAACUACGUGCCAGCAGCCGCGGUAAU